RNAcentral lists this transfer RNA (69 nucleotides) under Methylorubrum rhodesianum. RNAcentral describes it as "tRNA-OTHER". Lineage: Bacteria; Pseudomonadati; Pseudomonadota; Alphaproteobacteria; Hyphomicrobiales; Methylobacteriaceae. The record is from RNAcentral.
GUAGUAUCUGAUUUGGGUAGGCGACUGUUAAUCGCUUUGUCGCAGGUUCGAGUCCUGCUCGGGGAGCCA